Molecule: ribosomal RNA, 406 nt
Filed under: uncultured bacterium
Lineage: Bacteria
Description: partial 16S ribosomal RNA
Rfam family: Bacterial small subunit ribosomal RNA
Source: RNAcentral
AUUGAACGCUGGCGGCAGGCCUAACACAUGCAAGUCGAACGAGUGGCGGACGGGUGAGUAAUGUCUGGGAAACUGCCCGAUGGAGGGGGAUAACUACUGGAAACGGUAGCUAAUACCGCAUACCAUCGGAUGUGCCCAGAUGGGAUUAGCUAGUUGGUGGGGUAAUGGCUCACCUAGGCGACGAUCCCUAGCUGUUCUGAGAGGAUGACCAGCCACACUGGAAGUGAGACACGGUCCAGACUCCUACGGAGGGCAGCGGUGGGGAAUAUUGCACAUAGGGCGCAAGCCGGAUGCAGCCGUGCCGCGUGUAUGAAGAAGGCCUUCGGGUUGUAAAGUACUUUCAGCGAGGAGGCGUUACUCGCAGAAGAAGCACCGGCUAACUCCGUGCCAGCAGCCGCGGUAAUUC